AGAGUGAACGCUGGCGGCAGGCCUAACACAUGCAAGUCGAACGGCAGCACAGAGGAGCUUGCUCCUUGGGUGGCGAGUGGCGGACGGGUGAGGAAUACAUCGGAAUCUGCCUUAUCGUGGGGGAUAACGUAGGGAAACUUACGCUAAUACCGCAUACGACCUACGGGUGAAAGCGGAGACCUUCGGGCUUCGCGCGAUAAGAUGAGCCGAUGUCGGAUUAGCUAGUUGGCGGGGUAAAGCCCACCAAGGCGACGAUCCGUAGCUGGUCUGAGAGGAUGAUCAGCCACACUGGAACUGAGACACGGUCCAGACUCUACGGGAGCAGCAGUGGGAAUAUUGGACAAUGGGCGCAAGCCUGGAUCCAGCCAGUGCCGCGUGGGUCGAAGAAGGCCUUACGGGUUAGUAAACGUCCCUUUUAGGUACCGGUAAAAGAAAACG
This 438-nucleotide ribosomal RNA is filed under the name uncultured soil bacterium. RNAcentral describes it as "bacterial SSU rRNA". It matches the Rfam family "Bacterial small subunit ribosomal RNA", at positions 26 to 458 of the family's 1533-position model. The record is from RNAcentral.